GAAAUCAGUGAUGAUGGACGAUGGGGAUGUUAAGGUUGGUGGUGAUAGUGAGGCCUCCCUUUAUCAAACUAGACCAAAAGUGUCAAUGGAUAACGAUGGACUGGAGUAUGAGGUGCAUGUGGUNNNNNNNNNNGAUGAUGAGAGGUCGGAGGAGCACAGAAAUGCCGGAUUCAGGCGAGGAGGUGGUUUGCGGGAUGUGUCUCAAGUUGCUUUCGAAAUCAAGAUUCUAUUUGAGAGAGCUUCUGAUUCUGGGAAAG
RNAcentral lists this unclassified non-coding RNA (257 nucleotides) under Hevea brasiliensis (rubber tree). Lineage: Eukaryota; Viridiplantae; Streptophyta; Magnoliopsida; Malpighiales; Euphorbiaceae. The record is from RNAcentral.